GAUUGCGGUGAGGGUCCACCCGUUCCCAUCCCGAACACGGAAGUUAAGCUCACCUGCGCCGAAAAUACUUGUCUGGAGACGGACCGGGAAGAUAGGUAAUGCCAACA
RNAcentral lists this ribosomal RNA (107 nucleotides) under Flavonifractor plautii. Lineage: Bacteria; Bacillati; Bacillota; Clostridia; Eubacteriales; Oscillospiraceae. The record is from RNAcentral.